UUCCUGAUGAUUUCAGAAUUUACAUGAAAUGGAAAAAAGGAGGCAAAAUUAAAACCAAUCCAGAAUAAGAUAAUUAAUGAGGAUGGUGUUUCUUCCAAAGGCAAUUAGACAAGAGAAAUCAAAAUGAAUGUUUCUGUUAUAAAUUUUACAAAUUCAUGAGAUCAGUCCAUAGAAAAAUAACGAAUGGCUGAAGUUUUGGAAAUAGUCUGGAGAUUUCCAAUAAGCUAAUAAACAAUCAUUACAAAAUGUAACGAAAUUUAAACCUCAUAAAGAUUUUUAUAAUAACUCAAAGUCGUCGAUUCAUAAUUCAUUAUCCCUCUGCACCAAUUAAGUUGUCAGGAUGACAUUGCUGUUAAUAAAUCUUAGUGAUCUUGGUGUAGUUGAAAAUCACAAGAUUUCAAAAGACAUCGCAAUUAGAGGCUGAAUAUGAAGCUGGGUCAUUUAAGGUGGUUAAUAUAAAUUUGUAAUAUGGAAGUGAUUGAACUGGACAAUACAAUCACCUAGCAAGUCACGAUAUUGAAUUACCUUAUCUGAAUACAGUCUGCUAUUACCCCCAGAAUUGUGAUUAUGAAAGAAAAUGAUUCACACAUGAAAUGAAAAAAACUAGUCAUUUCUUGACGCUUAUCAUCACCAUCUAUCAAUUCAUUAUUGGCAAUCAAACAAGCAACGGCUUCUUCAUUAUCAAGAUAACAUACUCUUAAUGAACAAGUUGAAUCCUAAUGUUUCCGGUUGAUGAACUUGACUGGCAAUGAAUUUUUCACCAUUCUUAUAAUACCUUUCCAGACGACAAUAUUAAUUUUUAAUAUCCAGUGACAUUGCAAUCAAUCAAUCUUUUGAACAAACUUAAUUGUUGCUCAAAUAAGCAUCUUUUGAUUUCAAUCUGUCCGAAGACAAUCUCUUGAUCAUAAACUGUAUUUCCUUACUUUUUUAACCAACUAACUGUUGAUAAUCACGUACCAAUCAGGUAUAAUAUUUCAAUCUUUUAACUGCCAAAUCAGACAAUAUUGAUUUAGUUGAUGACUUUGAUUUGAUUCCCUAAAGCAAUUGUACUAUGAAUGAAGAUGUUAUCCAAAUUCAAGUUAAAAUGUUGAAAAGUUCAUUGAUUUAGGCAGAAAAAUUGAGUUGAUUUUUUCUUCUUCACUCAACUUACAUCAAAUUUCAUCUAAAUUGGUAAAUGUUAAAAUUAACAGAAAAUUGUUCUGCUCAUCAAAAUUUAGAUUCAUUGAGAUAUAAUCAGUGAAAUAGUGCGUCGAACCUUCAACUAAAUCUUUCAAUCUUGAAAUACAAUCUUUUCAAACCGUU
Non-coding RNA from Tetranychus urticae (two-spotted spider mite), 1302 nucleotides. Lineage: Eukaryota; Metazoa; Arthropoda; Arachnida; Trombidiformes; Tetranychidae. The record is from RefSeq and is a predicted model, not a curated record.